RNAcentral lists this ribosomal RNA (429 nucleotides) under Bacteroidota bacterium. RNAcentral's name for it is "Bacteroidetes bacterium partial 16S ribosomal RNA". It matches the Rfam family "Bacterial small subunit ribosomal RNA", at positions 355 to 776 of the family's 1533-position model. The record is from RNAcentral. Lineage: Bacteria; Pseudomonadati; Bacteroidota.
UAGGGAAUCUUCCGCAAUGGACGCAAGUCUGACGGAGCAACGCCGCGUGAGUGAAGAAGGAUUUCGGUUCGUAAAACUCUGUUGUUAGAGAAGAACAGCGCAUAGAGUAACUGUUAUGCGUGUGACGGUAUCUAACCAGAAAGCCACGGCUAACUACGUGCCAGCAGCCGCGGUAAUACGUAGGUGGCAAGCGUUGUCCGGAUUUAUUGGGCGUAAAGCGAGCGCAGGCGGUCAAUUAAGUCUGAUGUGAAAGCCCCCGGCUCAACCGGGGAGGGUCAGUGGAAACUGGUUGACUGGAGUGCAGAAGAGGAGAGUGGAAUUCCAUGUGUAGCGGUGAAAUGCGUAGAUAUAUGGAGGAACACCAGUGGCGAAGGCGACUCUCUGGUCUGUAACUGACGCUGAGGUUCGAAAGCGUGGGUAGCAAACAGG